Molecule: ribosomal RNA, 517 nt
Filed under: uncultured Actinomycetes bacterium
Lineage: Bacteria; Bacillati; Actinomycetota; Actinomycetes
Description: bacterial SSU rRNA
Rfam family: Bacterial small subunit ribosomal RNA
Source: RNAcentral
CGGAGCAUGCGGCUUAAUUCGACGCAACGCGAAGAACCUUACCAAGGCUUGACAUAUACAGGAAUACGGCAGAGAAUGUCGUAGCCGCAAGGUCUGUAUACAGGUGGUGCAUGGUUGUCGUCAGCUCGUGUCGUGAGAUGUUGGGUUAAGUCCCGCAACGAGCGCAACCCUCGUUCUGUGUUGCCAGCAUUUAGUUGGGGACUCACAGGAGACUGCCGGGGUUAACUCGGAGGAAGGUGGGGAUGACGUCAAAUCAUCAUGCCCCUUAUGUCUUGGGCUGCACGCAUGCUACAAUGGCUGGUACAAACGGCUGCGAUACCGCAAGGUGGAGCGAAUCCGAUAAAGCCAGUCUCAGUUCGGAUUGGGGUCUGCAACUCGACCCCAUGAAGUCGGAGUUGCUAGUAAUCGUAGAUCAGCAACGCUACGGUGAAUACGUUCCCGGGGCUUGUACACACCGCCCGUCACAUCACGAAAGUCGGUAACACCCAAAGUCAGUGGCCCAACCGUAAGGAGGGAG